AAAACCACGCCCAUAAACGCAAGAUCUUCGGACACGCCCCAAAGGAAGUGUCACAUCACGACAAGCCCCCAAUCGCGUCCCAGAGGGCGGGGACUAGCAGUCAUCUGAUUCGCGGUUGGAGGACGCGGCCGGUCUUCACCAAUCCGAAACCUCAAAGUCGCCUUCUCUUCCGCUUCCGGCAGGUCCUUCGCCGGAAAUGGAAGCUUGAUGCGUGGGCUUCAGUCACUGUUCUUCGCUGCCUUCAUGUUCCGAGGCUGGUUACUCUUCUAUCUGGCAUACCUAGCUCCGCGUUUCCUUGUCAUCUGGACAUCGGCGAGGGGUUGGAUCGAGGCUUUGCACACUGUGUGCCACCCUGAGCCUCACCCCGACUCCCAGGGCUCGUGUUUGUGCAGGUGGCCGUGAUGAUUGUUUUUCCUGUGUGUGUCCUUAAACACCUCGUGUCAAUAUUUUUUAUUUGCUUUUUUUUUUUUCUGUACCGGGGAUUGAACUCAGGACCUCGUGCUUGCCAGGUAGGCGCUGAGCAGUUGAACUACAUCCCUGGCCCGGUUUGUGUGUUUUAAAAACUUGUAAUGGUGUGGGUCAACAGAUGGAUGAAGGAGCACUAUGCAGCCAUAAAGAAGAGAAUCCUGUCUGCAGGAAAAUGGAUGAAACUGGAGGCCAUCGUGUGGAGUGGGAUAAACCGGACUCAUUCAGAUCUCAGGGGUUAUCUGUCAUAGGGAAUCUAGGGGGAAAAGGGGGGCAUGGGUGUGGCCAGACUUAGAGAAGAGGGGCUGGGACAGGGGAAAUGAUCAAAGUGUGUUACCUGCAUGUAUGGAUAUGCCGAAAUGAACCCACUGGUCUGUAUAAAUAAAAGGCAGUAAUAAAAA
Heterocephalus glaber (naked mole-rat) is the source of this 866-nucleotide long non-coding RNA. RefSeq lists it as uncharacterized. The record is from RefSeq and is a predicted model, not a curated record. NCBI's taxonomy places the organism in Eukaryota, Metazoa, Chordata, Mammalia, Rodentia, Bathyergidae.